GGGAUUGUGGCUCAGUGGUAGAGCACUCACCUAGCACGUGUGAGGCCCUGGGUUUGAUGCUCAGCACCA
This 69-nucleotide transfer RNA is filed under the name Ictidomys tridecemlineatus (thirteen-lined ground squirrel). Its description in RNAcentral is "Spermophilus tridecemlineatus (thirteen-lined ground squirrel) tRNA". It matches the Rfam family "tRNA". From Rfam's summary of the family: Transfer RNA (tRNA) molecules are approximately 80 nucleotides in length. Lineage: Eukaryota; Metazoa; Chordata; Mammalia; Rodentia; Sciuridae. The record is from Rfam by way of RNAcentral. RNAcentral also lists the same sequence under 1 other name.